AGCUCAUCCAGAGGGGCAGAGGGAAACGGCCCGGUGAAGCCCCGGCAACCCUCCAGUCGGCUCUCGUCGUUCAACGCGAGGCUCCCGGCUAGGGAAGGUGCCAAAUCCGUCUCAUGGCGAAAUGCGUCGUGAGGAAGAUGAGGA
Molecule: non-coding RNA, 144 nt
Filed under: Streptomyces sp.
Lineage: Bacteria; Bacillati; Actinomycetota; Actinomycetes; Kitasatosporales; Streptomycetaceae
Also listed under: 1 other name
Description: SAM-I sequence
Rfam family: SAM riboswitch aptamer (S box leader)
About the family: The SAM riboswitch is found upstream of a number of genes which code for proteins involved in methionine or cysteine biosynthesis in Gram-positive bacteria. The SAM riboswitch acts at the level of transcription termination control. The predicted structure consists of a complex stem-loop region followed by a single stem loop terminator region.
Source: RNAcentral